This 49-nucleotide ribosomal RNA is filed under the name Alcaligenes faecalis. RNAcentral's name for it is "partial 23S ribosomal RNA". Lineage: Bacteria; Pseudomonadati; Pseudomonadota; Betaproteobacteria; Burkholderiales; Alcaligenaceae. The record is from RNAcentral.
CCAGUACUAAUUGCCCGUGUGGCUUGAUCCUAUAACCCUUGAGGUUGUA